UGCUAACAAAUAGACUUAGUGGAUACUUUGAGUAGCAUUGUUCUAGAUAACUCUGACCUUUUCUUUCAAGUCUCAGCUGACACAUCACUUCCUCCAGGACGUCUUCCUGACAACCCUCCUCCAACCCGCAUCUGACUGGCUGGUCUCAUAGAAUGCUGUGUGUCCCCCUGUCAGAGCACUCACUAAUCAAGCUGUGUUUCAAAUGAAUCUGUCCCACUGGAUCGAGGGUGCUGCUGCUUACCUCUGAAUGUGUAAGCCCUUGCAAAAGUUCAGGGCUCCAAAGGCAAUAAGGCAUCCACGAUCCCUUCUGCAAGCCAAUUGGUCAAAGGAGGUAACAUUGCCUAGAGCUAUGCUGGGAAGAUCACUCUGUAAUACAAUUCAGGAAAUUUAAUUAACUGGACAGGUCUGGUCCUGACUCCAAUUUCUUUAUCUUCUUAUGGACGACUGGAUAACAGAAGAAAUUGGGCAAUCUUUUGUGAUUGUUGUAAACGAGACUUUGUGACCAUUGCUGGAUGUUUUCAGCACCCAUCUCGAGCAUGGACCAACUGAUCCUCCUUUGGCAAUCAGCACUGCGAACCCUAUUAUGCAGAUGAAGAAACUGAGGCAACGAACAGCACUCCAGGGGCACAGAGAAAGUUGUGAUGAAAUUUAGGUUAGAGGUCAAAGUUGUGCCCCACUGAGGGGAAAAGUGAGGGGGUAUCACAGAAAUUCCUUAGCCUUGGGCUUGCUCUGACAUUCCUUUAGGCUUCCGCUUCUUUCUUCUUCUGGCUGAAGAGGACUCAUUGGGAUCUCAGAGCACAAUGCACAGAGCCUCAUCAAGCACUUCUGCUAAACACACACUCCCUGUUCCUCAUCCCUAUGUGUCCUAUUCAGCUGCAGGGGACUAACCGGAAGCUAAUAGCUUGUCUGAGACCAUGAGAGCCAGAAGUCUGCUUGCAAGGUGUUAUCCACUUGUAAUUAUAGGCCCGCAAGGGGUGAAUGCUUACCAUGGGGAGUGACUCUUCUUUCCCAAGUACAGGUGUCCCUUCUUCUUGAGCCCCUGCCAGGUGCUCAGCAGCUUGGGAGCCCGUCAGAUAAAUAGCAACUGAGGUUAUGUUGCCUCAACUGCGGCAUGUGCAGGCACGGCCCUCAGGUAUUUGGGCCUGGACUUGCCUUAGUCACGGUGAGACUGGAAAGAACGUGCCUGCAAAUCAGACCAAGUUAUAACCACCUCUCCAAAUAUCAGAGGAACAUCACCCUAACCAUAGUGACUACUGUAACCGAAAGAAAGCACCAGAGAACACAGAACACCAGGGAGAUUGUGCCAAGUAAAGUCCCAACUAGUGUUAAGUAAGAUACUAUUUAGUAUCAAAUAGAGAUUUCCUAUGCUUGAAGUCUUCUGCCACUCAGCAGAACAGCAUUGGAAAAUAAUUUCAGUUCCAUAGUUCUUAUUAUAAACUCUAGUAAGAGCUGGAGUCCUAUUUUUAAAUUACCAGAUUUGACUUAUUUGCAUGUCUGGCAUAACCUACCAAAACUAGUCCCUGCAGCCCGGUUGCCCUCUUCUGUGCUUAUAUUAUUUCAUUUGUUUGUAUUUAGGAUCCCCAAAGAAGGGCUUAAUACAUUAUUAAGAGGGAGUUUGACCUAUGAUCUUUAAUAAGGAGCUUCUUAGAUUAGUCAAGAUUUGAAAGCCAAAUAUUUAUAAACAUGUUCCUACAUGUAUAAAAGGGAGGAUGUAAACCAAACUGUUAACAAUGAGUAUCUCGGGGGAGUGGUACUGGACAGGGUGGAAAAUGUCACUUUCUGUUUUAUACACUUCUAUUGUCUAAGCUUUGUUGUUUAACAAGGAGCAUGUGACUCAUGUUUUAACUUUUUAAAAACAUUGUGUUUAUUUAGAAUAAUUUUAUUCACUCAUGGGAAAUUAAACUGGAUUCACACUUAUGCCAAGAGCAAGUAUGAUUCAAGGCAUAUUAGAAUCAGUUGAUUGGAAUUGAUUGGCUUUAGGAGGAACUGGUGGAGACAGACUGACACAAGCUAGCGUAGAGCCUCUUCCACCAGCCGGAGGGAUGCUCUCAGUCUCUUCUCAUGCAAACCCCCGGAUUAGGAGAAGAAUGAAACCAGGAAGAUUGCAAGCCCUCGUGUGGAACCUAGGAGGCAGGGACUGGUGACCACUUAAAGCAGAUUGGCUCCAGCCUCGGCAGAAUGUGAUGCCAGAACAUAGGCAUGGAAUCGCCUCAGCUCUGCCAGGAGUUCGCUCUACAACUUUAGGAUUUCUGGGCAAAUAUAACUUCCAUGGUUGUGUUCUACUGCAGAGCCCUAUGAAUUCUAGUGUGUUGGGUUGUUGUUGAGAAAAAGAACAUGGCACUUCUAUGAUGGUCUGGUCUGCUGGGGAAUAUACUAGGUGAGAUUAGGAAGAUCAUGAUCUGAUCCUGAUUCUGCCCCUAAUCCUUUAUAGGCCUCAGUUUCCUCAACUCUACACACAUUGAGAAGACUGAAUUUUACAGGAUCCCUAAGGUCUCUUUUAGCACAAAACGUUUAUGAUGUCUAAAGUGGUCCAUAAGCCAAGAAUUCUGAGUAGUGAGUACUACACAGUUCCUCUCUCAAUCUUUUUUUUUUUUUUUUGAGGAAGAUUAGCCCUGAGCUAACUGCUGCCAAUCCUCCUCUUUUUGCUGAGGAAGCCUGGCCCUGAGCUAACAUCUGUGUCCGUCUUCCUCUACUUUAUAUGUGGGAUCCCUACCACAGCAUGGCUUGCCAAGCAGUACCAUGUCCGCACCCAGGAUCCGAACCGGAGAAUCCCGGGCCGCCGAGAAGUGGAAGGUCCGCACUUAACAGCUGCGCCACCGGGCCGGCCCCUCUCAAUCUCUUUUAAAAAGCCCAACUUUAAUUAAACACAGCAACUCAGUCAGAUAUGUCUAUGUUGUAUGUCAUGUGUGGUAUGAUGCAUCAGUUGGAGAAAAGUCAGCCUAACCUGCUUUACAGGAAUGGAAAUAGGAGAACUGAG
Equus caballus (horse) is the source of this 2977-nucleotide long non-coding RNA. Lineage: Eukaryota; Metazoa; Chordata; Mammalia; Perissodactyla; Equidae. The record is from Ensembl.